Molecule: unclassified non-coding RNA, 395 nt
Filed under: soil metagenome
Description: partial contains 5.8S ribosomal RNA, internal transcribed spacer 2, and large subunit ribosomal RNA
Rfam family: 5.8S ribosomal RNA (bases 1-122)
Source: RNAcentral
GAUGAAGAACGCAGCGAAAUGCGAUACUUGGUGUGAAUUGCAGAAUCCCGUGAACCAUCGAGUCUUUGAACGCAAGUUGCGCCCGAAGCCAUCAGGUUGAGGGCACGUCUGCCUGGGCGUCACAUAUCGUUGCCCAAUGCCUAUUGCAGUGCAAUAGGAAUUUCUAGGGCGAAUGAUGGCUUCCCGUGAGCGUUGUUGCCUCGCGGUUGGUUGAAAAUCGAGUCCUUGGUAGGGUGUGCCAUGGUAGAUGGUGGUCGAGUUAGAACGAUACCGAUCAUGUGCAUGCUCCCCAAAAUAUGGCCUCUAUGACCCAAACGCGUCUUUUGACGCUCAUGACGAGACCUCAGGUCAGGCGGGGCUACCCGCUGAAUUUAAGCAUAUCAAUAAGCGGAGGA